RNAcentral lists this ribosomal RNA (253 nucleotides) under uncultured bacterium. RNAcentral's name for it is "partial 16S ribosomal RNA". It matches the Rfam family "Bacterial small subunit ribosomal RNA", at positions 524 to 776 of the family's 1533-position model. The record is from RNAcentral.
UACGUAGGGUGCGAGCGUUGCCCGGAUUUAUUGGGCGUAAAGGGCGCGUAGGCGGCCACGCCCGUCCGUUGUGAAAUCGCCCGGCUCAACUGGGCGGGGUCAGCGGAUACGGUGUGGCUCGAGCAAGCUAGGGGGCAAUGGAAUUCCCGGUGUAGUGGUGGAAUGCGUAGAUAUCGGGAGGAACACCAGUGGCGAAGGCGGUUGCCUGGAGCUUUGCUGACGCUGAGGCGCGAAAGCGUGGGGAGCGAUCCGG